RNAcentral lists this ribosomal RNA (253 nucleotides) under uncultured bacterium. RNAcentral's name for it is "partial 16S ribosomal RNA". It matches the Rfam family "Bacterial small subunit ribosomal RNA", at positions 524 to 776 of the family's 1533-position model. The record is from RNAcentral.
UACGUAGGUGGCCAGCGUUGUUCGGAAUUACUGGGCGUAAAGCGCGUGUAGGCGGCUCUUCAAGUCAGAUGUGAAAGCCCCGGGCUUAACCUGGGAACUGCGUUUGAAACUGGGGAGCUAGAGUGUAGAAGAGGGGGGUGGAAUUCCAGGUGUAGCAGUGAAAUGCGUAGAGAUCUGGAGGAAUACCGGUGGCGAAGGCGGCAUCCUGGACCGAGAUUGACACUGAUGAGCGAAAGCUAGGGGAGCAAACGGG